Molecule: ribosomal RNA, 244 nt
Filed under: uncultured Staphylococcus sp.
Lineage: Bacteria; Bacillati; Bacillota; Bacilli; Caryophanales; Staphylococcaceae
Description: partial 16S ribosomal RNA
Rfam family: Bacterial small subunit ribosomal RNA
Source: RNAcentral
CGGCGGACGGGUGAGUAACACGUGGAUAACCUACCUAUAAGACUGGGAUAACUUCGGGAAACCGGAGCUAAUACCGGAUAAUAUAUUGAACCGCAUGGUUCAAUAGUGAAAGACGGUUUUGCUGUCACUUAUAGAUGGAUCCGCGCCGCAUUAGCUAGUUGGUAAGGUAACGACUUACCAAGGCAACGAUGCGUAGCCGACCUGAGAGGGUGAUCGGCCACACUGGAACUGAGACACGGUCCAG